GACGAACGCUGGCGGCGUGCCUAAUACAUGCAAGUUGAGCGCUGAAGGUUGGUACUUGUACCAACUGGAUGAGCAGCGAACGGGUGAGUAACGCGUGGGGAAUCUGCCUUUGAGCGGGGGACAACAUUUGGAAACGAAUGCUAAUACCGCAUAAAAACUUUAAACACAAGUUUUAAGUUUGAAAGAUGCAAUUGCAUCACACAAAGAUGAUCCCGCGUUGUAUUAGCUAGUUGGUGAGGUAAAGGCUCACCAAGGCGAUGAUACAUAGCCGACCUGAGAGGGUGAUCGGCCACAUUGGGACUGAGACACGGCCCAAACUCCUACGGGAGGCAGCAGUGGGGAAUCUUCGGCAAUGGACGAAAGUCUGACCGAGCAACGCCGCGUGAGUGAAGAAGGUUUUCGGAUCGUAAAACUCUGUUGGUAGAGAAGAACGUUGGUGAGAGUGGAAAGCUCAUCAAGUGACGGUAACUACCCAGAAAGGGACGGCUAACUACGUG
RNAcentral lists this ribosomal RNA (497 nucleotides) under uncultured bacterium. Its description in RNAcentral is "partial 16S ribosomal RNA". It matches the Rfam family "Bacterial small subunit ribosomal RNA", at positions 28 to 507 of the family's 1533-position model. The record is from RNAcentral.